Molecule: ribosomal RNA, 497 nt
Filed under: uncultured bacterium
Lineage: Bacteria
Description: partial 16S ribosomal RNA
Rfam family: Bacterial small subunit ribosomal RNA
Source: RNAcentral
GAUGAACGCUGGCGGCGUGCCUAAUACAUGCAAGUCGAGCGAACAGACGAGGAGCUUGCUCCUUCGACGUUAGCGGCGGACGGGUGAGUAACACGUAGGUAACCUACCUAUAAGACUGGGAUAACUUCGGGAAACCGGAGCUAAUACCGGAUAAUAUUUCGAACCGCAUGGUUCGAUAGUGAAAGAUGGCUUUGCUAUCACUUAUAGAUGGACCUGCGCCGUAUUAGCUAGUUGGUAAGGUAACGGCUUACCAAGGCAACGAUACGUAGCCGACCUGAGAGGGUGAUCGGCCGCACUGGAACUGAGACACGGUCCAGACUCCUACGGGAGGCAGCAGUAGGGAAUCUUCCGCAAUGGGCGAAAGCCUGACGGAGCAACGCCGCGUGAGUGAUGAAGGUCUUCGGAUCGUAAAACUCUGUUAUUAGGGAAGAACAAACGUGUAAGUAACUGUGCACGUCUUGACGGUACCUAAUCAGAAAGCCACGGCUAACUACGUG